AGGGGCGUGGUGAAAUGGUAUCACGAAGGUCUCCAAAACCUUUUUUGAGGGUUCGAAUCCUUCCGCCCCUGCCA
Molecule: transfer RNA, 74 nt
Filed under: Oscillospiraceae bacterium
Lineage: Bacteria; Bacillati; Bacillota; Clostridia; Eubacteriales; Oscillospiraceae
Description: tRNA-Trp
Rfam family: tRNA
About the family: Transfer RNA (tRNA) molecules are approximately 80 nucleotides in length. Their secondary structure includes four short double-helical elements and three loops (D, anti-codon, and T loops). Further hydrogen bonds mediate the characteristic L-shaped molecular structure. tRNAs have two regions of fundamental functional importance: the anti-codon, which is responsible for specific mRNA codon recognition, and the 3' end, to which the tRNAs corresponding amino acid is attached (by aminoacyl-tRNA synthetases). tRNAs cope with the degeneracy of the genetic code in two manners: having more than one tRNA (with a specific anti-codon) for a particular amino acid; and 'wobble' base-pairing, i.e. permitting non-standard base-pairing at the 3rd anti-codon position.
Source: RNAcentral